Molecule: small RNA, 3723 nt
Filed under: Pan troglodytes (chimpanzee)
Lineage: Eukaryota; Metazoa; Chordata; Mammalia; Primates; Hominidae
Description: retained intron
Source: RNAcentral
ACGCGACCUGUGACCAUGGUGGCUGUGCUGGGCGGCCGGGGCGUGUUGCGCCUGCGGCUGCUGCUCUCAGCGCUGAAGCCCGGGAUCCACGUCCCACGGGCCGGACCCGCGGCCGCGUUCGGCACCUCGGUAACCUCUGCCAAAGUGGCUGUGAAUGGCGUUCAGCUGCAUUACCAGCAGACUGGAGAGGGAGAUCACGCAGUCCUGCUACUUCCUGGGAUGUUAGGAAGUGGAGAGACUGAUUUUGGACCUCAGCUCAAGAACCUCAAUAAGAAGCUCUUCACGGUGGUCGCCUGGGAUCCUCGAGGCUAUGGACAUUCCAGGCCCCCAGAUCGCGAUUUCCCAGCAGACUUUUUUGAAAGGGAUGCAAAAGAUGCUGUUGAUUUGAUGAAGGCGCUGAAGUUUAAGAAGGUUUCUCUGCUGGGGUGGAGUGAUGGGGGCAUAACCGCACUCAUUGCUGCUGCAAAAUAUCCGUCUUACAUCCACAAGAUGGUGAUCUGGGGUGCCAACGCCUACGUCACUGACGAAGACAGCAUGAUAUAUGAGGGCAUCCGAGAUGUUUCUAAAUGGAGUGAGAGAACAAGAAAGCCUCUAGAAGCCCUCUAUGGGUGUGACUACUUUGCCAGAACCUGUGAAAAGUGGGUGGAUGGCAUAAGACAGUUUAAACGUCUCCCAGAUGAUGGAGUCUCACUCUGUCACCAGGCUGGAAUGCAAUGGCAUGAUCUCAGCUCACUGCAAUCUCUGUCUCCUGGGUUCAAGCGAUUGCUCUGCCUCAGCCUCCCAAGUAGCUGGGACCACAGGCGUGCACCACCACGCAGGCACAUUUUUUUGUAUUUUAGUAGAGACAGGGUUUCACCAUGUUGGCCAGGAUGGCCUUGAUCUCCUGACCUCGUGAUCCGCCCACCUUGGCCCUCCCAAUUGCUGGGAUUACAGGCCUGAGACACCGUGCCCAGCCUCCUAUUCUUUAUCUGAAAAAUUAACAAGAUUUCCAGUUAAAGUAAGAAUUGACAUCUUUAAGAGAAAUUCUGAAUUAUAGUUUAUUUUCAUACAACUAUUUAUGUUUAUAAUCUCAUUUUUUUUUAAUUGCUGAGAAAAUAGAGUAGCUAAGAUCUAAUCUUGGAGUGCACUGUUACAAAAUGGUUGUGAUUGAAGGACCAAUUUGAUCUAUUAGGUAAUCAUUUCCUGCAUGAAUCAUCUGCCAAAACUUUCACAAUGAAAAGGACAUUUGGAAAUGUUACGCUUCUGGUUUGAGUUGAAAACAGCAAAUAUAUCAAAUGUAUGCCUUAUAAUGUUUCUGUUCAGAUGCAGCAUCCACCCAUGGAGACAGGCCCUGGAAAUCUCUGCUCUUAAAACAAAAACAUGCCAUGAAACAAUGUUUGAGACAGUUCUCCAUUAAAGAGGGCACAUUUGUAAAAUGUAAACUUUGAUGUUUUGUUGAAGAGAGUAGUGAAAAGACAGGAAGAUUUAAAGGUGGAAAUAGGGUUAAAUCAGCAAUUCAAAAAUACGUUCAUGAUACAGAGGCUGUAGCAGUGUAUAAACUGUCUCACAGCGAGACCCUUCAUGAUGUGUCCCCCUUCUGUGCUGACUCAUUUGGUAGGAGCCCUUUUUUCCUACUGUCCUCUCAGGUUUAUGGAUGCUUGGCAUAGUGUAGGGAUUCAUUGCAUUGCACGGCUCUGGAGUGCGAUGGGCCUGAGUGUGAGUUCUGCCUGUGCCCCCGGCUUGCUGUUAGAAUGGAUCUGGGCAGGUAACUUAGCUUCUUGAAGCUUUGGUUUCCUAUCUGUGACCUCGAAAAGCUGUUGUUGCGGGGAUUAAAUGAGGUGUUACCUAUUCAGCUUUGGUGCAGGAUCAAAGACAGAGUGUCUAAUGAAAGGUUGGUAUUACUGUUAUUACAAAAGUACUUAAUGAACAAACAUUUUUAUAUGCUGAAUGAGUUAAAACAUGUAACUACUGUGUUUAACAGAUACGAAAUUGUUUAAACAGUUGCUGGCACAAAGUGAGCACUCAGGCAUAUUGACUUUGAUCAUCACGUGAUGAUGCAGUUGGCCGGUGUGUGUCAUCUCGGGACAGGAGAGGGAAGUGUCAGAGACCUGGAGGAGUAUUUCCCUAGUCAACGGGCCCGCUUCUCACUUAGCAGGCAGCGACUUCCCACUGAAGAGGAGGGAAAGGCCUGGGGCCCGUGCCGGGCAGGGGAGCACUGCACCGUCGGGGCAGCUCCCAGCCUUCUCAGAGCUGCGGUGCCUUCCUCUUGACACGCACGGAGAGGGAAUGGAGAAGGAAAGAGCCAGCUUAGGGAUGCCGGGAACCGCAGACGCAACUCUCUUUUUAGCCCCACAACAGCCCCGGGGAACUGUGAUUGUUCCUGUUUGUGGCUGAAGCUCCCAGUGGUUAAGGAGCCACCACAGCCUCACAGAGGCAGGAAACUGCAGUACAGGGACUAGGGCCCAGGCUGUCCAUCAUUGCCUCAGGAAAGUUCUCAUAAAUGGGGGUAAGUCCGUACAGUCUCUCCAAAGUAUGUUAGUCAGGAGUGUCACAGACGCAUCAGCGAUAAGGAGAAGCUGCUUUGCCGUGCGCAAGUUGUAUAAUUAAUUCCUUGUGAGGCUCACAUGCUUUGAGGGCUGGCCGGGGCCCCUACACUCAUCCGAAACGUGAUUUCCAGGGAAAAGGUGUACAGGUGUCAAGCACCUACCACUGUUUUCACGGUGGGAACCGCCACUGUGGAAUAUAGUGGUGGGGUGUUUAUUUGAUUUUCCUACUAUUUUACGCGAAUUUAAAUCAGGCUGCUUAUUUACUAGUAGAACUCAGAAACAGGCAAGCAAACAAACAAGAAACAGAGAGAAACAGAAAAGGGAACCCAAAGAAUGUUAGAGCUGGAAGGAAUCCCAGGCAUGGUCAAAUCCAAAACGCAGUUUUUACGGAUAGGGAAACUGAGGGCCAAGGAGGGGCAGGGCUCGCUGAGUUUCGCCUCCUCUGACCGCGUAGAAUGGUUGCACUAAAGCAGAUUCCUCGUGCUGUGUAUCCGUCAGGUAACAUCUGCCGGCACCUGCUGCCCCGGGUCCAGUGCCCCGCCUUGAUUGUGCACGGUGAGAAGGAUCCUCUGGUCCCGCGGUUUCAUGCCGACUUCAUUCAUGAGCACGUGAAAGGUUCACGGCUGCAUUUGAUGCCAGAAGGCAAACACAACCUGCAUUUGCGUUUUGCAGAUGAAUUCAACAAGUUAGCAGAAGACUUCCUACAAUGAGAAUGCACACUCGAGUCUUGGUGGUUCCUUCGUGUGGGGCUUGAUCGUGUUGCUGCCUGUUAACAUGAUGCCUUUGAAACUCUCCGCCUUUGAAACUUUCUACCCCUCCCUUCAAUCUUAUCCUAACCAAAUGAGAAUAAUGACAUAUUGAAAACAGCCUCUAGCUUCAGGCUGGGCACGGUGGCUCACAGCUAUAAUCUCAGCACUUUGGGAGGCUGAGGUGGGAGAAUUGCCUGAGCCCAGGAGUUCAAGACCAGCUUAUGCAAUAUAGGGAGACUCUGGCUCUACAAAAAAAAGUUUUUCAAAAUUAGCCAGGCGAAGUGGCACACAUCUGUGGUCCCAGCUGCUCAGGAAGCUGAGGUGGGAGGAUCAGUUGAGCCCAAUUCAAGGCUGCAGUGAGCUGUAAUUGCAUCACUGCACUCCAACCUGGGCAACAGAGUAAGACCUUGUCUUAAAAAAAAAUAAAAACAUAAAAAAAAAAUAAAAAA